UACGUAGGGUGCAAGCGUUGUCCGGAUUCAUUGGGUUUAAAGGGUCCGUAGGCGGUUUAAUAAGUCAGUGGUGAAAGCCCAUCGCUCAACGGUGGAACGGCCAUUGAUACUGUUAAACUUGAAUUAUUAGGAAGUAACUAGAAUAUGUAGUGUAGCGGUGAAAUGCUUAGAGAUUACAUGGAAUACCAAUUGCGAAGGCAGGUUACUACUAAUGGAUUGACGCUGAUGGACGAAAGCGUGGGUAGCGAACAGG
Molecule: ribosomal RNA, 253 nt
Filed under: uncultured bacterium
Lineage: Bacteria
Description: partial 16S ribosomal RNA
Rfam family: Bacterial small subunit ribosomal RNA
Source: RNAcentral